Molecule: ribosomal RNA, 335 nt
Filed under: uncultured Nitrospirota bacterium
Lineage: Bacteria; Pseudomonadati; Nitrospirota
Description: bacterial SSU rRNA
Rfam family: Bacterial small subunit ribosomal RNA
Source: RNAcentral
ACUCCUACGGGAGGCAGCAGUGAGGAAUAUUGCGCAAUGGGCGAAAGCCUGACGCAGCGACGCCGCGUGGGGGAAGAAGGUUCUCGGAUUGUAAACCCCUUUUAGGAGGAAAGAUGGGGUGGGUAACCACCCGGACGGUACCUCCAGAAAAAGCCACGGCUAACUUCGUGCCAGCAGCCGCGGUAAUACGAAGGUGGCGAGCGUUGUUCGGAUUUACUGGGCGUAAAGAGCACGUAGGCGGUUUAGUAAGCCCCUUGGGAAAGCUCCGGGCUCAACCCGGAAAGGUCGAAGGGGACUGCUAAGCUAGAGGGCGGGAGAGGAGCGCGGAAUUCCCG